This 3161-nucleotide long non-coding RNA is filed under the name Brassica napus (rape). Its description in RNAcentral is "long non-coding RNA (BNAP_LNC022409)". The record is from RNAcentral. Lineage: Eukaryota; Viridiplantae; Streptophyta; Magnoliopsida; Brassicales; Brassicaceae.
UGAAGAAGAAUGGUCUCUUUGAUUAUUGUAUAAUCCAGAUAAAGGGAAACCGUUCAAAGGAGGAAGUGUUUGCUCAAAUUGAUACUGCUCUAUCCAAAAUGCUUCAACAGAGGAACAACACCUCUCCAAGUUCACUUUCAAGUUGAAUCAUUUUUUGGUACUGACCUGAGGAAGAAGUGUUUGACCAUUUCCGAAAUGCUUCAACAGAGGGAACACUGCUCCAACUUCACUUUCAAGUUGAAUCAUUCUUGUCACGGACCUAACCAGCGGUAAAUAUCCCCUUUCUGGCAUUUAUCAAAUUCUAUUGAUACCGCUUGUAUCUCACAAUAAGGAUCUAUUUGUUUCCAGUAAGAUUGAUGUGCGUCUCUGUGACCUUUAUGCUCUUGUAGAUUUACUGAAAAAUUAACUCAUUGUAUUUCUCUUGUUGCAAUCAUUGUCAUUCUUUUUUUUUUUUUUUUACUUGAUUCUAUUAGUUAUUAAUUCAUUUAAAGACCUUUGAAAAGUUCUUCGUAUCAAUGAGUCAACUUUUGAAGGUUAGCGUCUAAAUUCAACUUGACAAUGGUGAUAUAAUAUCCACUGGUUUUAUUCACAUGAUUGAUUGUUCAUCUACUUUUUCUCUAGCAAUAUAAUUAGAGGAUUUUGACUUUUGACUUCUCCCAUGGAGUUUAAAACAAGUUGAUAAGCUUUUUAUACUCUUUUCUCUUUGUCUCCCACACGACUGACUUGGAAUCUCAUGUAAUGCUUGAAAAAUGCAGCAGCGUAUCUUAUUGGCUUUCGCAUUUGAAGCUUUCACAUCAAACUGCUUGUGCUAAGGUUUCUUCUUUGAAAAGUAUUAUCUAACAUUUCUGUACCAACUAAGGAAAGACCAAUAGAAUUGAAAAUAAUAUAAACAAAAAAAAUAAAGUGACACGUGGCUAAUCACUAGCGGGACUUGAUAGUGGUUCGGUCUGUGGAGCUCCUAAACAAGCAGCCAAAGCCUUCUCUAGGUUACUCACUACCUCCGCCAUGGACGGCCUUUCCCGGCCGCACGGAACCAAGCACUCCACCGCCAAGCACCCAGCUGUUGAUUUCGGAUCUCUUCUUCAGGUUGUGGCGGCCGAGAAAGCGGAGCCGCCUCUGAAGAUUAUGAUAUCAGGAGCUCCCGCUUCGGGUAAAGGCACACAGUGCGAGCUCAUCACUCAGAAAGUAAGCUUCUUCCCCUCUUUUAAUCACAUUUCACGAUGAGUAUUGCGUAAUGUAUGGUCUCGAUUCUAAUUAGGAUCGGUUUUUUAUAAUCAGAAUCUUUGAAUUUCUUGUAUACAUUCUUUACUCAAUGAGAAUAAAUUAAUUUCACAUUUUUUUUUUUCUUUUAGAAACUUAGGUUGUUGAAUAGGUAAAGGAAAGACACUUUCUUGAUGUGUUUCUUGUUUUUUCUUCAUCAGUAAGAAUAGUAGAGUUUGACAAUCUUAUCUUCGGUAUUAGUUCUGUUGGAAGCUUAUUGGGAGGUUCUUAUGGUGAGGUUCUUAGCGGAAUAUAAGCGGAAUAUAAGAACCCGUCUCUUAACUUUUUUAUGAGGUUAUUGGAAGCUUAUUGGGAGGUUCUUAGGUUUUUAUCUAAGAGACGGUUCUUAGCUUUUUUAAUUAAAAGUUAAGAUACAGGUUCAUAUAUUCCGCUAAGAACCCCACUUUAAGAACACCCAAUAAUCAUGCUCUAGGUUGUUGAAUAGGUUAAAGAAAGUCCUCCUCUUUUUAGGUUAUGUUUUUGUGGAAGACUUCAUGCUUAAAUACUAUAUGGUCUAGAUUCGAUUUAGGAUUAGUUUUGUAUAAUCAGAACCGUUGAGUUUCUUGUAUACUUUCUUCUUCUUCUUCCUCAGUGAGAAUAAAAUAAAGUAAGGAAAAUCACUCUCUUAAUAGAGUUUCACAAUCUUAUUUUUCGGUUUUAGUUCUGGUAGAAGCUUUAUGCUGUUGUCGAAUAAUGUAAAGAAAGUCCUUUCUCUUUGUUAGUUUCUGUUUCAGUGGGGAGACUUCAUGCUUGUUUGGUAAUUCACUACUACUACUACCUCUUUGCAGUAUGGUUUGGUGCAUAUCUCUGCUGGAGACCUGCUGAGAGCUGAGAUCGCUUCUGGUAGUGGAAAUGGAAAGCUGGCGAAAGAAUACAUGGAGAAAGGACAGCUGGUCCCUGAUGAAAUCGUUGUAAUGAUGGUCAAAGACCGUUUAUCACAAACUGAUUCACAGCAAAAUGGAUGGCUUUUAGAUGGUUAUCCGAGAAGCUCAUCGCAGGCAACAGCGCUUAAAGGGUUUGGAUUCCAGCCUGAUCUGUUCAUUGUCCUCGAAGUAGGCAGUUUUGCUUAUCAUUAAUGUUCCCUUAUCUCUCAUCAAAUGGUAUUUGAUUUACGCCUGCUCUGCUUUUUGGGACAGGUUCCUGAAGAUAUUUUAAUCGAAAGAGUUGUGGGGCGUAGAUUAGAUCCUAUCACGGGAAAGAUCUACCACUUGAAGUAUUCUCCUCCAGAGACUGAAGAGAUCGCUGCUAGACUCACCCAACGUUUUGAUGAUACCGAAGAGAAGGCAAGCCCAUAUGAAACUCUCGGUUACUCCAUUUAUGUCUCUGUAAUCUUUUUGUUUCAUUUGCUGUAGGCAAAGCUGCGGCUGAAGACUCAUAACCAAAAUGUGAGCGAUGUGCUUUCCAUGUACGACGAUAUCACUAUUAAGGUAUGAGAUCUCAUUCCACACCUCUCUUCAUUAACUAGAGUCUCAUGAAGAAGAAUGGUCUCUUUGAUUAUUGUAUAAUCCAGAUAAAGGGAAACCGUUCAAAGGAGGAAGUGUUUGCUCAAAUUGAUACUGCUCUAUCCAAAAUGCUUCAACAGAGGAACAACACCUCUCCAAGUUCACUUUCAAGUUGAAUCAUUUUUUGGUACUGACCUGAGGAAGAAGUGUUUGACCAUUUCCGAAAUGCUUCAACAGAGGGAACACUGCUCCAACUUCACUUUCAAGUUGAAUCAUUCUUGUCACGGACCUAACCAGCGGUAAAUAUCCCCUUUCUGGCAUUUAUCAAAUUCUAUUGAUACCGCUUGUAUCUCACAAUAAGGAUCUAUUUGUUUCCAGUAAGAUUGAUGUGCGUCUCUGUGACCUUUAUGCUCUUGUAGAUUUACUGAAAAAUUAACUCAUUGUAUUUCUCUUGUUGCA